RNAcentral lists this ribosomal RNA (253 nucleotides) under uncultured bacterium. RNAcentral describes it as "partial 16S ribosomal RNA". It matches the Rfam family "Bacterial small subunit ribosomal RNA", at positions 524 to 776 of the family's 1533-position model. The record is from RNAcentral.
UACGUAGGGUCCGAGCGUUGUCCGGAGUUACUGGGCGUAAAGAGCGCGCAGGCGGUCGUUCAAGUCGCGUGUGAAAGCCCCCGGCUCAACUGGGGAGGGUCACGCGAUACUGAUCGACUCGAAGGCAGGAGAGGGAAGUGGAAUUCCCGGUGUAGUGGUGAAAUGCGUAGAUAUCGGGAGGAACACCAGUGGCGAAGGCGGCAUCCUGGACCGGUAUUGACACUGAGGCGCGAAAGCCAGGGGAGCAAACGGG